This 68-nucleotide transfer RNA is filed under the name Marmota monax (woodchuck). RNAcentral describes it as "tRNA.Ala". Lineage: Eukaryota; Metazoa; Chordata; Mammalia; Rodentia; Sciuridae. The record is from RNAcentral.
GGGUGUGGCUCAGUGGUAGAAUGUACUUAGCAUGCCUGAGGCCCCUGGGUUCAAUCCCCAGCACCACA